GGUGCGGAAUAGCCCAGGGAAACUUGGAGUAAUACCGUAUACGCCCGAAAGGGGAAAGAUUUAUCGCUAUAGGAUGGGCCCGCGUAGGAUUAGCUAGUUGGUGAGGUAAUGGCUCACCAAGGCGACGAUCCUUAGCUGGUUUGAGAGAACGACCAGCCACACUGGGACUGAGACACGGCCCAGACUCCUACGGGAGGCAGCAGUGGGGAAUAUUGGACAAUGGGCGCAAGCCUGAUCCAGCCAUGCCGCGUGAGUGAUGAAGGCCUUAGGGUUGUAAAGCUCUUUUGCCGGGGACGAUAAUGACGGUACCCGGAGAAUAAGUCCCGGCUAACUUCGUGCCAGCAGCCGCGGUAAUACGAAGGGGACUAGCGUUGUUCNGAAUCACUGGGCGUAAAGCGCACGUAGGCGGAUUUGUAAGUCAGGGGUGAAAUCCCGGGGCUCAACCUCGGAACUGCCUUUG
Molecule: ribosomal RNA, 460 nt
Filed under: uncultured Hyphomicrobium sp.
Lineage: Bacteria; Pseudomonadati; Pseudomonadota; Alphaproteobacteria; Hyphomicrobiales; Hyphomicrobiaceae
Description: bacterial SSU rRNA
Rfam family: Bacterial small subunit ribosomal RNA
Source: RNAcentral